Fundulus heteroclitus (mummichog) is the source of this 131-nucleotide small nucleolar RNA. The record is from Ensembl. NCBI's taxonomy places the organism in Eukaryota, Metazoa, Chordata, Actinopteri, Cyprinodontiformes, Fundulidae.
CAGCCCCUUUUUUGCCCACCUUGGACCUCCAGUCGUCCUUGGUGCUCAACACAGAGGGGCAGAGGAACUCUCUCAUAAACCUGCAGUGAAGGCUCACAUCCUCGCUGCGGAUCCUGUCGGGAGAAACAACC